RNAcentral lists this transfer RNA (99 nucleotides) under Streptomyces violascens. RNAcentral's name for it is "tRNA-Glu". The record is from RNAcentral. Lineage: Bacteria; Bacillati; Actinomycetota; Actinomycetes; Kitasatosporales; Streptomycetaceae.
GCCGGCUGUUGGCGGACGGGUGCCGCGCGGCUCCCUUUCGGGUCGCGUCGCUGACUCGGGCGGAGGAGGUCGCGCCGUUCGAGCCGGGGCAGCUCGCUC